CGAGCGCCGCCCUGUCCCACCCUCCGGCCAGGUGUCCCACCCGGUACCUUGUGUCCAGCGCUCCCCGCUGCCCAGAGUGGCCGCCAUAUCCGUUCCUAGUCAGGUCCGCCGAGCCUCCCCCGAGCCCGAAGCUGAAAGAGAAGGGGGCGCAGAGCGCGGGGCACGCUGGUCAGUGUAGUCCAGCCCAUAUGGGACUGCAACUCCCGGCAGGCUCUGCGCGCGAGCAUUCAGCGACGCUGUGAGGUAACGGGGCUAGGCCCUUCGAGGGGCGACGUGGGGAGUUGCCUUGACGCUGGCUGGCAGCUGCGCGGUUACUGGCUCGUCCUCGUGUGCGGAGUGGGGUAGUGGCGUCUGCCCUGCCCACCCCUGGGAGCGGCCGAGGAGGUGCGGCUGUGCCCGCGAGGUGGACACCGCACGGCUGCUGGUCCCCUCAGGGCUGUCCGUUUGAAAUGUACGCCGGUGGCUGGUCUGUGCAAAGCCUGUGCUAGGCCCUGGGGAGUCAGAGAUGAGUUUUGGGGAAUGCCCAACUCGUCUCUGGGGAACUUAAAAGCCAAGAAAAAUACGAGAGUGGUUUACGGGGUUCGAGCGCCGUCCGGAAACGCCUCUCCUCCCUCAGUUCCUCAGAGAGAGAAGAGGGAAGUUCCUGAGGCCACACUCGAGGCCAUCUUUUCCUCAGCCCAUUCCUUUCUUCUUAAGGACCGGGCUGUAAAAAGGAAAUGAGGAACUCUUCCUGUCCUCCCUGGGUUUUCACGGAGUCCAGCAAAGAAUAAAAGCGACUCUUCAUGGGCGGCAGAAUCACGGAUUGCUUGACAUUACUUGGCAUGUUUUGCUCCUGGAAUAGCAGAAAAAAUGGUUCGGCUCUGCAACCUUCUCGGAUAUUGCCGUGCAAAUGUGCCCUUCAGCUUGUUUAGACUUCAGCUAAGGGUUCUGAAGAUGUUUUCCCUCUGACUGCAUCACAGGAGCCUAGAACUCCAAAUCUCCACACUGAGAAUUCUUCUGUGCCAGUUUUUGCUUCAGCUCCCCAACCAGUCGGCAAGAAUAAUUUUCCACUGUCAAACUUAAUCUCCGCUGUGGCCUAAAAGGGGAUGAUACAGAGUUUCCAGGGGGAAAGCAGCCAGCAGAAAGAGUGCAAGAACAAUGGGGAAGGAAGUGAGGAAGAGGAACUGGGAUCUUCAAGGCAGUUUUCAAAGAGGAGGAGGAAGGUGUCCAAAGAGGUUCAAACAGGAAAGAAUGGUAGACAUCCCAAAUCCACAAGGAGCCUGACUUUGGGAAAUUGUGCCACAACUAGGCCAAGGAAGCCUGCAGCCAUCUUUCUUCUGCUUAAUCAUUUUACCAAGUCCUAGCUCAGAUUUCUAUCCAUUUUCAUCACUAACUCUAAAAACUUUAUUUAUUUACUUAUUUGAAAGGCAGAACAACAGAGAGACAUCUUCCAUCCUCUGGUUCAUUCCCCAAAUGGCUGUAACAGCCCUGUCUGGGCCAGGCUGUACGGGAGCCAAGGACUCCAUCUGGGUCUCCCAAUGGGGGCAGGAACUCAAGUGCUUGAGCCAUCAUCCCCUGUUGCCCAGGUCAUUAGCAGGGAGCAGGAUUGGAAGCAGACUAGGAAGGUCUUGAACAGAUGUUCCAAUAUGGGAUGCAGGUGCCCCAAGCCAUGGCUUAACCCCCUGCACCACAACACCUUCCUCUCCACUAACUUUUAAAGAUACUUGCUGACGUGUAGUGGACUUUUGCUGGUAAUACUGAGGUUUGCUAUGUGCUCUGUGUGCUUGAGAUGGUUCCUUGUUCUUCCCUGAAAGAAGGAUACUGGAUAAAAAAUCCCUCUGUCCGUGUGUCCUGUGGGCCUGAGCUGGUUUAUUGGUUGUCCUUCCAUAGGAUGGAGGAAGAAAUAAAAGAAGACUGUACAGCAAGUGCCCCAUCCUGCCUCGUGUGUCUGCUUUAGGACCAUGUAGCCCCGCAUGAGAAGGAGGAAGACUCCUUGUAAGCAGCCACCAUCCUGUUGUCUAGACAGCACGGAAGAGACGUGAUCUCAGGGAAGCUGCAGAGGCUGCAGGCUGCACUCGGAUAUCCUGGCAGAGAUCCAAGGUUUCUUGGUGAGAACUCCUGGGAACAAGAGCUGUGAGGAAUAAGAGAAGUGGAAUCGGUCAGGGGAAGAAAUGGAGACAAUGGGUCCAGGUCUUCACCCUCACCCCCACCCCAUCAGCAGUUGUUGCCUGGUUUUGAGCCCCCCACAGCUCAUACUCCCAGCAGCAGGGAAACAAGUGUUUUGGACCCACAGCGGGGCCUGGAUGGUGGUACUGCGGAUGGUCUGCUACAAUUGCUCGCUAGGACUUGGACUUCUGACGAGUCUCCGAAUUUUGAUUGCAUUUUAUCUAUUAGACACCUCUGGAGGGAGACAGAGCCAGGUAGGGAUCAUCUUCCCUGGGACUACUCCCCUGUGGGACUACACAGGGAAAUGGAAGUCCAGACAAUGUCAAGGACUUGCACUGGAGUGACCUCUCAAUAGUUUGUGUUUUUUCUUACAUCUAGAGUUUAAGAACUGGAAAAGAUACUGGAAACCAAAUAGUCCAGCCACCUCACUUUAAAAGUAAGAAACCUGGGGUCAGCACUGUGGUGUAGCUGCUAUGCAGUGCCAGCACCUGCUAUGGGCACCUGUUUGAGUCCUGGCUACUCCACUUCCAAUCCAGGUCCCUCCUAAUGUGUCUGGGAAAGCAGCAGAAGAUGGCAUAAGUGCUGGGCCCCUGCCACCCACAUUGGAGACCCAGAAGAAGCUCAUGGCUUCUGGUUUCACCUUGACCCAAACCUGUAGGUCUCUCCCUCUCUCACUAUGCCUUUCAAAUAAACAAAUGUAUUUUGAUUUUUAAGUGUUGAAUCUGUGGGGAUUUUUUAAAAAUAAGGAAUGAGGUUUGGAGAAA
Lepus europaeus (European hare) is the source of this 2909-nucleotide long non-coding RNA. RefSeq lists it as uncharacterized. The transcript is spliced from 3 exons. NCBI's taxonomy places the organism in Eukaryota, Metazoa, Chordata, Mammalia, Lagomorpha, Leporidae. The record is from RefSeq and is a predicted model, not a curated record.